This 1372-nucleotide ribosomal RNA is filed under the name uncultured bacterium. Its description in RNAcentral is "bacterial SSU rRNA". It matches the Rfam family "Bacterial small subunit ribosomal RNA", at positions 28 to 1381 of the family's 1533-position model. The record is from RNAcentral.
GAUGAACGCUGGCGGCGUGCCUAAUACAUGCAAGUCGAGCGAACGGACGAGAAGCUUGCUUCUCUGAUGUUAGCGGCGGACGGGUGAGUAACACGUGGAUAACCUACCUAUAAGACUGGGAUAACUUCGGGAAACCGGAGCUAAUACCGGAUAAUAUUUUGAACCGCAUGGUUCAAAAGUGAAAGACGGUCUUGCUGUCACUUAUAGAUGGAUCCGCGCUGCAUUAGCUAGUUGGUAAGGUAACGGCUUACCAAGGCAACGAUGCAUAGCCGACCUGAGAGGGUGAUCGGCCACACUGGAACUGAGACACGGUCCAGACUCCUACGGGAGGCAGCAGUAGGGAAUCUUCCGCAAUGGGCGAAAGCCUGACGGAGCAACGCCGCGUGAGUGAUGAAGGUCUUCGGAUCGUAAAACUCUGUUAUUAGGGAAGAACAUAUGUGUAAGUAACUGUGCACAUCUUGACGGUACCUAAUCAGAAAGCCACGGCUAACUACGUGCCAGCAGCCGCGGUAAUACGUAGGUGGCAAGCGUUAUCCGGAAUUAUUGGGCGUAAAGCGCGCGUAGGCGGUUUUUUAAGUCUGAUGUGGAAGCCCACGGCUCAACCGUGGAGGGUCAUUGGAAACUGGAAAACUUGAGUGCAGAAGAGGAAAGUGGAAUUCCAUGUGUAGCGGUGAAAUGCGCAGAGAUAUGGAGGAACACCAGUGGCGAAGGCGACUUUCUGGUCUGUAACUGACGCUGAUGUGCGAAAGCGUGGGGAUCAAACAGGAUUAGAUACCCUGGUAGUCCACGCCGUAAACGAUGAGUGCUAAGUGUUAGGGGGUUUCCGCCCCUUAGUGCUGCAGCUAACGCAUUAAGCACUCCGCCUGGGGAGUACGACCGCAAGGUUGAAACUCAAAGGAAUUGACGGGGACCCGCACAAGCGGUGGAGCAUGUGGUUUAAUUCGAAGCAACGCGAAGAACCUUACCAAAUCUUGACAUCCUUUGACAACUCUAGAGAUAGAGCCUUCCCCUUCGGGGGACAAAGUGACAGGUGGUGCAUGGUUGUCGUCAGCUCGUGUCGUGAGAUGUUGGGUUAAGUCCCGCAACGAGCGCAACCCUUAAGCUUAGCUGCCAUCAUUAAGUUGGGCACUCUAAGUUGACUGCCGGUGACAAACCGGAGGAAGGUGGGGAUGACGUCAAAUCAUCAUGCCCCUUAUGAUUUGGGCUACACACGUGCUACAAUGGACAAUACAAAGGGCAGCGAAACCGCGAGGUCAAGCAAAUCCCAUAAAGUUGUUCUCAGUUCGGAUUGUAGUCUGCAACUCGACUACAUGAAGCUGGAAUCGCUAGUAAUCGUAGAUCAGCAUGCUACGGUGAAUACGUUCCCGGGUCU